RNAcentral lists this ribosomal RNA (822 nucleotides) under Myrothecium inundatum. Its description in RNAcentral is "eukaryotic LSU rRNA". It matches the Rfam family "Eukaryotic large subunit ribosomal RNA", at positions 74 to 930 of the family's 3401-position model. The record is from RNAcentral. Lineage: Eukaryota; Fungi; Ascomycota; Sordariomycetes; Hypocreales; Stachybotryaceae.
AUUGCCUCAGUAACGGCGAGUGAAGCGGCAACAGCUCAAAUUUGAAAUCUGGCCCCAGGCCCGAGUUGUAAUUUGCAGAGGAUGCUUUUGGUGAGGUGCCUUCCGAGUUCCCUGGAACGGGACGCCAUAGAGGGUGAGAGCCCCGUCUGGUCGGACACCGAGCCUCUGUAAAGCUCCUUCGACGAGUCGAGUAGUUUGGGAAUGCUGCUCUAAAUGGGAGGUAUAUGUCUUCUAAAGCUAAAUACCGGCCAGAGACCGAUAGCGCACAAGUAGAGUGAUCGAAAGAUGAAAAGCACUUUGAAAAGAGAGUUAAAUAGCACGUGAAAUUGUUGAAAGGGAAGCGUUUAUGACCAGACUUGGCCCGGUUGAUCAUCCAGCGUUCUCGCUGGUGCACUCUGCCGGUCCAGGCCAGCAUCAGUUCGUCGCGGGGGACAAAGGCUUCGGGAAUGUGGCUCCUCCGGGAGUGUUAUAGCCCGUUGCGUAAUACCCUGCGGUGGACUGAGGUCCGCGCUUCUGCAAGGAUGCUGGCGUAAUGGUCAUCAACGACCCGUCUUGAAACACGGACCAAGGAGUCGUCUUCGUAUGCGAGUGUUCGGGUGUAAAACCCCUACGCGUAAUGAAAGUGAACGCAGGUGAGAGCUUCGGCGCAUCAUCGACCGAUCCUGAUGUUCUCGGAUGGAUUUGAGUAAGAGCAUACGGGGCCGGACCCGAAAGAAGGUGAACUAUGCCUGUAUAGGGUGAAGCCAGAGGAAACUCUGGUGGAGGCUCGCAGCGGUUCUGACGUGCAAAUCGAUCGUCAAAUAUGGGCAUGGGGGCGAAAGA